RNAcentral lists this ribosomal RNA (439 nucleotides) under uncultured bacterium. Its description in RNAcentral is "bacterial SSU rRNA". It matches the Rfam family "Bacterial small subunit ribosomal RNA", at positions 958 to 1398 of the family's 1533-position model. The record is from RNAcentral.
AACGCGAAGAACCUUACCAGGCCUUGACAUCCCGUGCUAAGCCCAGAGAUGGGUGGUCCCCGCAAGGGGCGCGGAGACAGGUGCUGCAUGGCUGUCGUCAGCUCGUGUCGUGAGAUGUUGGGUUAAGUCCCGCAACGAGCGCAACCCUUGUCCUGUGUUGGCAUGCCGCAAGGCGCAACUCUCAGGAGACCGCCAGCGAUAAGUUGGAGGAAGGUGGGGAUGACGUCAAGUCAUCAUGGCCUUUAUGUCCAGGGCCACACACGUGCUACAAUGGGCGGUACAAAGCGCUGCCAACCCGCGAGGGGGAGCUAAUCGCCAAAAACCGUCCUCAGUUCGGAUUGCAGGCUGCAACUCGCCUGCAUGAAGCUGGAAUCGCUAGUAAUGCUAUAUCAGAACGAUAGCGUGAAUACGUUCCCGGGCCUUGUACACACCGCGCAUA